RNAcentral lists this transfer RNA (75 nucleotides) under Pelodiscus sinensis (Chinese soft-shelled turtle). It matches the Rfam family "tRNA". Rfam says of the family: Transfer RNA (tRNA) molecules are approximately 80 nucleotides in length. Their secondary structure includes four short double-helical elements and three loops (D, anti-codon, and T loops). Further hydrogen bonds mediate the characteristic L-shaped molecular structure. tRNAs have two regions of fundamental functional importance: the anti-codon, which is responsible for specific mRNA codon recognition, and the 3' end, to which the tRNAs corresponding amino acid is attached (by aminoacyl-tRNA synthetases). tRNAs cope with the degeneracy of the genetic code in two manners: having more than one tRNA (with a specific anti-codon) for a particular amino acid; and 'wobble' base-pairing, i.e. permitting non-standard base-pairing at the 3rd anti-codon position. Lineage: Eukaryota; Metazoa; Chordata; Testudines; Trionychidae. The record is from Rfam by way of RNAcentral.
AGUGAGGUGGCUGAGAGGUUAAAGCAAUAGACUGCUGAUCUAUUGCACUCAUGGGUUCAAAUCCCAUACUUGUUG